UGGGGAAUAUUGCACAAUGGGCGAAAGCCUGAUGCAGCAACGCCGCGUGAGCGAUGAAGGCCUUCGGGUUGUAAAGCUCUGUCUUCUGGGACGAUAAUGACGGUACCAGAGGAGGAAGCCACGGCUAACUACGUGCCAGCAGCCGCGGUAAUACGUAGGUGGCAAGCGUUGCCCGGAUUUACUGGGCGUAAAGGAUGCGUAGGCGGAUACUUAAGUCAGAUGUGAAAAUCCCGGGCUUAACUUGGGAACUGCAUUUGAAACUGGGUAUCUAGAGUGCGGGAGAGGAAAGUGGAAUUCCUAGUGUAGCGGUGAAAUGCGUAGAGAUUAGGAAGAACACCAGUGGCGAAGGCGACUUUCUGGACCGUAACUGACGCUGAGGCAUGAAAGCGUGGGGAGCAAACA
Molecule: ribosomal RNA, 402 nt
Filed under: uncultured bacterium
Lineage: Bacteria
Description: bacterial SSU rRNA
Rfam family: Bacterial small subunit ribosomal RNA
Source: RNAcentral